This 253-nucleotide ribosomal RNA is filed under the name uncultured bacterium. RNAcentral describes it as "partial 16S ribosomal RNA". It matches the Rfam family "Bacterial small subunit ribosomal RNA", at positions 524 to 776 of the family's 1533-position model. The record is from RNAcentral.
GACAGAGGAGGCGAGCGUUAUCCGGAGUCAUUGGGCGUAAAGGGUACGUAGGCGGCUAGUCAAGUCUGAGGUUAAAGACCACAGCUUAACUGUGGAAAGGCCUUGGAAACUGACUGGCUAGAGUGGGGCAGGGGUUGCGGGAAUUCCCGGUGUAGCGGUGAAAUGCGUAGAUAUCGGGAAGAACACCUGAGGCGAAAGCGCGCAACGGGGACCUGAAUGACGCUGAGGUACGAAAGCUAGGGGAGCGAAUGGG